GACGAACGCUGGCGGCGUGCUUAACACAUGCAAGUCGAACGAGACGAAUUAGAAGCUUGCUUUUAUUGAGUCGAGUGGCAAACGGGUGAGUAACGCGUAGACAACCUGCCGCAAAGAUGGGGACAACAGUCCGAAAGGACUGCUAAUACCGAAUGUUGUAUCUCCACCGCAUGGAAGAGAUAUUAAAGAUGGCCUCUACUUGUAAGCUAUCGCUUUGCGAUGGGUCUGCGUCUGAUUAGCUUGUUGGCGGGUAACGGCCCACCAAGGCUACGAUCAGUAGGGGUUCUGAGAGGAAGGUCCCCCACAUUGGAACUGAG
RNAcentral lists this ribosomal RNA (317 nucleotides) under uncultured bacterium. RNAcentral's name for it is "bacterial SSU rRNA". It matches the Rfam family "Bacterial small subunit ribosomal RNA", at positions 28 to 323 of the family's 1533-position model. The record is from RNAcentral.